Molecule: ribosomal RNA, 456 nt
Filed under: uncultured bacterium
Lineage: Bacteria
Description: bacterial SSU rRNA
Rfam family: Bacterial small subunit ribosomal RNA
Source: RNAcentral
UACGGGAGGUAGCAGUGGGGAAUAUUGCACAAUGGGCGAAAGCCUGAUGCAGCUAUGCCGCGUGUAUGAAGAAGGCCUUAGGGUUGUAAAGUACUUUCAUCGGGGAGGAAAAAACAAAACUAAUAAUUUUAUUUCUUGACGUUACCCGAAAAAGAAGCACCGGCUAACUCCGUGCCAGCAGCCGCGGUAAUACGGAGGGUGCUAGCGUUAAUCAGAAUUACUGGGCGUAAAGAGCACGUAGGUGGUUUUUUUAAGUCAGAUGUGAAAUCCCUGGGCUUAACCUGGAACUGCAUUUUGAAACUGAAAUACUAGAGUAUCGUAGAGGGAGGUAGAAUUCUAGGUGUAGCGGUGAAAUGCGUAGAUAUCUGGAGGAAUACCUGUGGCGAAAGCGGCCUCCUAAACGAAUACUGACACUGAGGGUGCGAAAGCGUGGGGAGCAAACAGGGAUUAGAUACC